RNAcentral lists this long non-coding RNA (592 nucleotides) under Capsicum annuum. Its description in RNAcentral is "long non-coding RNA (CANN_LNC009037)". The record is from RNAcentral. Lineage: Eukaryota; Viridiplantae; Streptophyta; Magnoliopsida; Solanales; Solanaceae.
UUGGAAAUCGCGCCUCAAUUCAAAGAAAGUUGGAGUCAGCUAUGUGAAUCGUCAGAAACAAUUACGCCUCAAUUCCAACAAAGUUGGAACUAUGACUCGAUUCCAAGAGAGUUGGAGUCGCACCUCAAUUCCAAGAAAGUAGGAGUCAGGUAUGUGAAUCGUCGCCUCAAUUCCAAUAAAGUUGGAAUCGCGCCUCAAUUCCAAUAAAGUUGGAGUCAGCUAUGUGAAUUGUCACAACCAAUUAUACCCUCGAUUCCAAGAAAGUUGGAAGUAGGACUCUGACUCCAAGAAAGUUGGACUUCGCGCCUCAAUUCAAAGAAAGUUGGAGUCAGCUAUGUGAAUCGUCAGAAACAAUUACGCCUCAAUUCCAACAAAGUUGGAACUAUGACUCGAUUCCAAGAGAGUUGGAGUCGCACCUCAAUUCCAGGAAAGUAGGAGUCAGGUAUGUGAAUCGUCGCCUCAAUUCCAAUAAAGUUGUAAUCGCGCCUCAAUUCCAAUAAAGUUGGAGUCAGCUAUGUGAAUUGUCACAACCAAUUAUACCCUCGAUUCCAAGAAAGUUGGAAGUAGGACUCUGACUCCAAGAAAGUUGGAC